This 83-nucleotide ribosomal RNA is filed under the name Loxodonta africana (African savanna elephant). The record is from RNAcentral. Lineage: Eukaryota; Metazoa; Chordata; Mammalia; Proboscidea; Elephantidae.
GUCUACGUCCACACCACCCUGAACACGUCCAGUCUCGGAAGCUAAGCAGGGUAGGGCCUGUUAGUACUUGGAUGGCGAAGAAU